CCCCUAGAUGUUCUGGGCCGCACGCGCGCUACACUGAACAGUUCAACAAGUCUUAACCUUGGCCGAUAGGUCUGGGUAAUCUUUGAACGCUGUUCGUGAUUGGGAUAGACCUUUGCAAUUAUGGGUCUUCAACGAGGAAUUCCUAGUAAACGCAAGUCAUCAGCUUGCAUUGAUUACGUCCCUGCCCUUUGUACACACCGCCAGUCGCACCUACCGAUUGAAUGGUCCGGUGAAAUCUCGGGACGGCGGCUUGGUCGCUUGCGUCCGACUGCUGAAACUUGAUUAAACCAUAUCAUUUAGAGGAAGGUGAAGUCGUAACA
RNAcentral lists this ribosomal RNA (320 nucleotides) under uncultured eukaryote. RNAcentral's name for it is "partial 18S ribosomal RNA". It matches the Rfam family "Eukaryotic small subunit ribosomal RNA", at positions 1470 to 1796 of the family's 1831-position model. The record is from RNAcentral.